Molecule: ribosomal RNA, 487 nt
Filed under: Crisularia guara
Lineage: Eukaryota; Metazoa; Bryozoa; Gymnolaemata; Cheilostomatida; Bugulidae
Description: partial 16S ribosomal RNA
Rfam family: Bacterial large subunit ribosomal RNA
Source: RNAcentral
AAAACAUAGCUUCCCGUAAUUAUAAGAAGUGACGUCUGCCCAGUGACUAAGUUAAACGGCCGCGUAAGUGCUAAGGUAGCAUAAUCAUUUGCCUCUUCAUUGGAGGCUAGUAUGAAUGGAUUAACGAAGCUUAACUGUCUCUAAUCUUGAAAUUGAAAUUGAUUUAAAGGUGAAAAAUCCUUUGUAACGGGGCAGGACGAAAAGACCCUAUAGAGUUUACAGUGUAAUAAUCUUGACCAAAAACCAUAAUUAUACACUUUUAUUGGGGCAAUAAAAGAACAAACAAAACUCUUAAAAAAGUUAUUGCGAUAGCAAAAAAGAUCCUUAAAAAGAAUAAAGAAAAACUACCUUAGGGAUAACAGCGUUAUUCUUCCAGAGAGAGCUAAUCGAAGGAAGAGUUUGCGACCUCGAUGUUGGACUAAGGUUACAAUCAAGUGCAGAAGCUUGAUAAAGUAGGCCUGUUCGGCCUUUAAUACCUUACAUGAUU